This 616-nucleotide ribosomal RNA is filed under the name uncultured fungus. RNAcentral describes it as "eukaryotic LSU rRNA". It matches the Rfam family "Eukaryotic large subunit ribosomal RNA", at positions 24 to 664 of the family's 3401-position model. Lineage: Eukaryota; Fungi. The record is from RNAcentral.
CCCGCUGAACUUAAGCAUAUCAAUAUAGCGGAGGAAAAGAAACCAACAGGGAUUGCCUCAGUAACGGCGAGUGAAGCGGCAACAGCUCAGAUUUGAAAGCCGAGUCUUGGACUUUGCAUUGUAAUCUGAAGAGGAAAUCUCGCGAACGAUUAGUCUCAAGUCUCCUGGAACGGAGCGUCAUGGAGGGUGAGAAUCCCGUGGAGAUGAAAUCCGACGCAUGUGAGAUUCCUUCGACGAGUCGAGUUGUUUGGGAAUGCAGCUCUAAUUGGGAGGUAAAUUCCUUCUAAAGCUAAAUAUCGGCUGGAGACCGAUAGCGCACAAGUAGAGUGAUCGAAAGAUGAAAAGCACUUUGAAAAGAGAGUCAAACAGCACGUGAAAUUGUUGAAAGGGAAGCGCUGUCCAUCAGACUUGUUGAUCAGGAUCACCCACCGUUCUCGUUGGGGCACUCUUGGUUGGACAGGCCCGCAUCGGUUGUAUUGAUAGAAGAAAGACCAUGGGAAUGUAGCUCUUCGUGAGUGUUAUAGCCCGUGGUGUAAUACGGCCAGCUUCGACCGAGGUCUGCGCUUCGGCUCGGAUGCGGGCGUAAUGGUGGUCAGCGGCCCGUCUUGAAACACGG